RNAcentral lists this ribosomal RNA (800 nucleotides) under uncultured bacterium. Its description in RNAcentral is "bacterial SSU rRNA". It matches the Rfam family "Bacterial small subunit ribosomal RNA", at positions 8 to 798 of the family's 1533-position model. The record is from RNAcentral.
AGAGUUUGAUCCUGGCUCAGGACGAACGCUUGCGGCGUGCCUAAGAAAUGCAAGUCGAGCGGGGACUAGCGCUGUCCAAAGCUUCGGCAGAGGACUUGCUAGUUCUAGCGGCGAACGGUCGCGUAACACGUAAGCAACCUGCCCCAAAGACUGGGAUAACCCGCCGAAAGGCGGACUAAUACCGGAUGUGGCCCGUCUGGCGCAUGCCAGAUUGGUUAAAGGGAGCAAUCCGCUUUGGGAUGGGCUUGCGGCCUAUCAGCUAGUUGGUGAGGUAGCGGCCCACCAAGGCGACGACGGGUAGCUGGCCUGAGAGGGUGGCCAGCCGGAUUGGGACUGAGAUACGGCCCAGACUCCUACGGGAGGCAGCAAUUAGGAAUCUUGCGCAAUGGGCGAAAGCCUGACGCAGCGACGCCGCGUGAGCGAUGAAGUCUUUCGGGAUGUAAAGCUCUGUCCUGCGGGGAAGAAGGAUGUGACGGUACCCGCAGAGAAAGCCCCGGCUAACUACGUGCCAGCAGCCGCGGUAAUACGUAGGGGGCGAGCGUUGUCCGAAUUUACUGGGCGUAAAGCGCGUGUAGGCGGCCCUCUAAGUGAGAUGUGAAAUCCUGCGGCUCAACCACAGAACUGCAUUUCAAACUGGAGAGCUUGAGUUUGGGAGAGGAGAGUGGAAUUCCUGGUGUAGCGGUGAAAUGCGUAGAUAUCAGGAGGAACACCCGUGGCGAAGGCGGCUCUCUGGCCCAACACUGACGCUGAGACGCGAAAGCUAGGGGAGCGAACGGGAUUAGAUACCCCCGGUAGUCCUA